This 69-nucleotide transfer RNA is filed under the name Marmota monax (woodchuck). RNAcentral's name for it is "tRNA.Ala". Lineage: Eukaryota; Metazoa; Chordata; Mammalia; Rodentia; Sciuridae. The record is from RNAcentral.
GGGAUUGUGGCUCAGUGGCAGAGCGCUUGCCUCGCAAGUAUGAGGCACUCUGUUUGACCCUCAGCACCA